Molecule: long non-coding RNA, 1445 nt
Filed under: Notechis scutatus (mainland tiger snake)
Lineage: Eukaryota; Metazoa; Chordata; Lepidosauria; Squamata; Elapidae
Description: lncRNA (ENSNSUG00000005916.1)
Source: RNAcentral
CCUCUCCGGCCAUUGGCCCGCUUAAUCCAUUUCAGUGCCAAAAAGAUCAUAAAAUAAAUAACUGCCUUUUAAUGGAAGAUUACACAAGGACAAAGUCAUAAAAGGUGCAAGGAAAGCAGAGGAAACGUUUCAGGGGGCCGACCUGCCGCUUGGCGUCUGCUCCAGAGGGGGUCCAGGCAGUCGGGCGCACGAGGGCCCCCCCCCCUGCCCCGGCCCUUCGCUUCAGCCAGCGCCCUCAAGGGCGGCCAGGAAGCAGCCGGUUCAGUGGCACAACGGCUUCAGGGCCCCAGGAACUGGGCAAAGAGAGAGACAAUGUGUGUGCGUGUGUGCAAAGCAGGGAAACACCCAGAUGUCCCCAGGACUUCCAGAGCAAACCUGUGUCAGUAGCACCGAUACUGGACAGGCCUGCUGGACCACUUGACAGGUGUGUCUUGCACAGCGUGGUUGACCCCAAAGCGGCUGGCCGCUUGGCCGGUUCACCUGCGCCCCGACCUCAGUCUCUGCCGCUGCUUUCAACCACUCUUGGCCCACAGGAAACGCCUGGAAGGACCUGCCGGCCGUCUCGUUCCUUCCUCAGUGCCCCCAAGAGGGGGGGGCUCUCUGCCCCUCCGGAAAAGCGGUUCCUUGGGGGUCAAGAGGCCCCCUGCACUGGGGCAGAAAUCCAGCCAGGUUGGCCGAGCAAGGCAGCACCGGCCCCGCCUUGCCCCAGGAUGGGGGCCACGCACAGCCCCACCCGGGGAGACCCUGGCCCAGGAGGGCUGCCCCUCCCCCCACCGGCCCUGAGGGCCACAACGCAAAGGCUGCGGGGGGGGGAUGCACUUCCCUCUGGACCCUGCGGUUGUGGGUCAGCCUGUCUGGCUCCAAAGGCGGUGGGGGUCCAGAAGGACUGCCCCCCACCUCACAGAAGGCAAGGGAGCCAGGGAGGUAGCGUAGAGUGGGGAGAAGCCCUCUGGGAAAAGGCCGUGUUGCUGCAGCUGGGGGAGGGAGGGGCGGCUGAGCCUGUGCCAGGAUGGGACCCCCCCCCCCCCCCCCCCCCCCCCCCCCCCGGGGGGGGGCCGCCCCCCCCCCCCCCAGCUCCUCCUGGCCUAUCCUGAGAGCGCCUUGGCUUGUUCUCCAAGGGGGAGGGGGGAGCCCGCCCGAGCUGCCCCCCCCAGACCGAAAGGGAGGCACCUGAGCAAUGGGAGAGAGCAGGUGAGGAGAAGCCCCCCCCCCAAAGGGGCUAUCCGGUUGUGAAGGGGGGCUUGGCCCCCCAGUGGCCUCAGGAGGAAACCAGGCUGGAGCUCAAUUCCCUGCAGGAAGAGGGACGGACGAGGUGCUGCCAUCCGUGCCCCCCGCCCCCGACUGGCAGUUGGUCUUCUAGGAGAGGGGUGGUAGCAGAGCCCCCUCCCCCACGAGAAUACCGCCCGUGGCUCCUGGCCCUCCCCCCAGAGAUCCAGAGGGACCUG